ACUCCUACGGGAGGCAGCAGUGGGGAAUAUUGCACAAUGGGGGAAACCCUGAUGCAGCCAUGCCGCGUGUGUGAAGAAGGCCUUCGGGUUGUAAAGCACUUUCAGCGAGGAGGAAAGGUUGAUACCUAAUACGUAUCAGCUGUGACGUUACUCGCAGAAGAAGCACCGGCUAACUCCGUGCCAGCAGCCGCGGUAAUACA
RNAcentral lists this ribosomal RNA (200 nucleotides) under uncultured bacterium. RNAcentral describes it as "partial 16S ribosomal RNA". It matches the Rfam family "Bacterial small subunit ribosomal RNA", at positions 335 to 527 of the family's 1533-position model. The record is from RNAcentral.